This is a non-coding RNA of Macaca mulatta (Rhesus monkey), 559 nucleotides long. NCBI's taxonomy places the organism in Eukaryota, Metazoa, Chordata, Mammalia, Primates, Cercopithecidae. The record is from RefSeq and is a predicted model, not a curated record.
GUGGAAGAGUGCUGCUGCCCUAGGUCAAGCUCUACAUGAAUUAUCAUGUAGUGGGUGGGAGGAUGAAGAGGUGGCAGAGCCUCCGAAGUGUGGAGCGUGAUGAGGAUGGACGGCAGCUCUAAGCCAGCUGAGUUCUUUCAGACUGUUUUCUUCCAGUAUGGCUGUCACAGUAAGAACUAUGUUACCCUGGAGCUGCAAGGUCUGCCUUUGCCCCUGUAUGAGGAAGGCCCAUCUGAGAAGGGAAGCAGAGCAGAGCAGAGUUUAGCUGAGAGAUGGGCAGAGAGAAAGUCCUGAGGAUGUCACUUGAGCUGCUGGAUAUGGCUGAGCCUAAACUAGAUACCCCUAAAACUUCCAAAUUAUGUGAAUCAGUAAAUUCCUAUUUUUGUUUUGUUUUGUUGGUUGGCUGAUUUUUGUUGUUGUUGUUACCUGCAACUGCAAAAAUCCAAACUAAUAUACUGUUUUUCCCUGCCCUGGCUCGUAACUUUGACAGCUUGUGUAAGAUUUUCAUGAGUCUCUGGCUCCCCUGGGUGGCAAAGAGAAUAAAUUCACAUUUCUAGGA